RNAcentral lists this non-coding RNA (201 nucleotides) under Flavobacterium tructae. The record is from RNAcentral. Lineage: Bacteria; Pseudomonadati; Bacteroidota; Flavobacteriia; Flavobacteriales; Flavobacteriaceae.
UCUUUACGGCCAGAUUAAGGUCUGUUUUUUCUUUAGAGAAAACAGUUAAAAGGGAAUCAGGUGUAAAUCCUGAACAGACCCGCUACUGUAAGUUCUGUAAAAGUCUUUAACGUUACUCAUGCCAUUGUCCCGCUUUGCGGGAUGAGAAGGCAGUUUAAAGAUGGAACAAGUCAGGAGACCUGCCGGAAUCACAUAGUUUAA